GUGAAUGGCAAGACUAGGAACACCUUUACUUUGUGUAUAGAAAAAACUUUUCAUCUAAGUGAAAAGACUUAGAUAAUAAAGGUAGACGAAAAGACCCCGCGGAACUUUACCUUUUCCUGUACUCUCGUACAUUCACUUAAAAGUACUUAAGGUUUGAUUGGGGCAAUCUUGGAACCAACAAAGCUUCCAAUUUCUUAAAAAAAUCUAUUCAAAGUUUGUUAAAAACCAAAAAGAAGUUACCCCGGGGAUAACAGCGUAAUCUAACUUAAGAGUACAUAUCGAAAGUUAGGUUUGCGACCUCGAUGUUGGCUUAAGGAUAUCCACAUUAGUGCAACCGCUAUGACAGGAUAGUCUGUUCGACUA
Molecule: ribosomal RNA, 363 nt
Filed under: Pseudanodonta complanata
Lineage: Eukaryota; Metazoa; Mollusca; Bivalvia; Unionida; Unionidae
Also listed under: 2 other names
Description: partial 16S ribosomal RNA
Rfam family: Bacterial large subunit ribosomal RNA (bases 54-363)
Source: RNAcentral